UACGUAGGGUGCGAGCGUUAAUCGGAAUUACUGGGCGUAAAGAGUGCGUAGGCGGUUUCUCAAGUCCGCUGUGAAAUCCCCGGGCUUAACCUGGGAAUGGCAUUUGGGACUGCAAGGCUGGAGUUUGGCAGAGGAGACUGGAAUUCCUGGUGUAGCAGUGAAAUGCGUAGAUAUCAGGAGGAAUACCGAUGGCGAAGGCAGGUCUCUGGGCUAUAACUGACGCUCAUGCACGAAAGCGUGGGGAGCAAACAGG
This 253-nucleotide ribosomal RNA is filed under the name uncultured bacterium. RNAcentral describes it as "partial 16S ribosomal RNA". It matches the Rfam family "Bacterial small subunit ribosomal RNA", at positions 524 to 776 of the family's 1533-position model. The record is from RNAcentral.